GCACCUUCGCAGCCCUGAGCAUCAUCCCCCUGGGUGCCCCCAUCCCCGCAUCCCGCGGCCGUGGGGUGCCAGGGGGACGAGCCGCAGAGACCCCCCCCCCCUUACCCAGCAGCUUUUCCAAAAGGACCCCAAGCAGGAAGGGGGGGGGGGGUCCGCCCCAAAGCCCCAACCCCAAACCGUGUCCUCGUGGGCCCCCAACACCUCUGGGUGGCAGCAGGAGCCGGGCACCCAUCGGAGCCGGGGUCCCAGCGCCCUCACCCCGUGGGCACCGCACCGUCCCCGAGGCCAGGCAGCCCGUGUCCCCUGGGGCCGGGUGCCCCCGCUGGGGGAAGGGGUGCGCGGGGGAGAGCGGAGCCCGAUUUGGGAGAGCUCCGUGGGCUGGGUUUGUGUCUCAGCAUCUCUCCCUGCCACCCGGGGAGGUAGGAGCUGAAUUAAUCGCGAUCAAUUAGUGCUGCUUGCAGCCACCGGCUCCCGCCCUGCACCAGCUUUGUGCCGUCGCGCCCAGCAUGGGGGGGCCCGGCGUCCCCGGCAGCACAUGGGGGGGGACCUCGGGGAGCGCAGCCCCUCCGGACCCUGCGCGCACCCCCUUGCUGGGGACAGGGGACGGGCAGGGACAGCGUGGGCACCCCGUGGGGACGCGUCGGAUUCGGAGGGGGGCGGCGAUGCGGGGGGCGUGGGGGGGGGGACGCAUGGGCCCCCGGCGGCCCCGCUCUCGGCAGAGCUCGGAGUGGGGUGGCAGGGGUCCGGGCGGCCGGAUCCUGCAGUAUACUGCAGCAAAUGCCCUGCAAUCUGCAUCCGAAUGAGUCCCACCUUCCUUCCCCCGCAACGUGCUGCCCUGGGCUACAGCUAAUCUAUUGUGCGCUGGGCUGCAGCCAGCGCGAGCUGCAAUACAGUAAAUCCUUCUGCAGUAUCCUGCAAGGGGACCGAGCCCAGCCGCAGCCGCUGCCUCCUCCCAGACAAAGCCUGGGGCCCGCGGGGGGCCGGGGCGCAGCGGUGCUGCCCGGGACGGGGACGAGGACGGGGACGCGGGAGGGCCGUGGGCGCCCGCGGCGGCUUCCUGCUGGCCGAGGUGGGAGGACGCGGCCCUGAGUGGGCUGCGAAGUUCCCCGGGGACUUUUCAAGGGACUUUUGGCGGCGCUGAGCCCCCAGUUCCCCCCCCCCACCCC
Molecule: long non-coding RNA, 1166 nt
Filed under: Anser cygnoides (Swan goose)
Lineage: Eukaryota; Metazoa; Chordata; Aves; Anseriformes; Anatidae
Description: lncRNA (ENSACDG00005002317.1)
Source: RNAcentral